CCUGCCAGCAGCUAGCGUGCGAGUAAACGGAUCUCUUCUGAUCUCGGAAGCUAAGCGGGAUCAGGCACAGUUAGUACCUCAACAGGAGAUAGGGAAAGGYAGGAGCUGCAGGA
Molecule: ribosomal RNA, 113 nt
Filed under: Nothoprocta perdicaria
Lineage: Eukaryota; Metazoa; Chordata; Aves; Tinamiformes; Tinamidae
Source: RNAcentral